Long non-coding RNA from Helianthus annuus (common sunflower), 1427 nucleotides. RefSeq lists it as uncharacterized. Lineage: Eukaryota; Viridiplantae; Streptophyta; Magnoliopsida; Asterales; Asteraceae. The record is from RefSeq and is a predicted model, not a curated record. The transcript is spliced from 7 exons.
CUCCCUCUGCUAAAUGAAACUCGGAAACAUAAUUUUUCAUAUUUUCAUCUCUUUUCCCUCCCCUCCCCUCCCCUGUUAAAUGAGUCUCGAAUGAGUCUCGGGAAGAGAGCGUAAGAGAAAGAAAGAGAAUACCAUAGCGAGGGGUGGAGAUAUUGCGGCAGCGUUUAGCAAGAGAAGAAGAUUUGUUGUUUUUUCAGCUGAAUCCGGUAGCUGUGAUGAUGUUUUGUCGUCUCCAUGAGAGAGGGGCGGAGGACGACCGAUCAUUUCUCCGCACAGAGUUUCUCCCGCCAUGGCAACCAUACCGAUUCUACAAAUCAGGGAGGAAAAGGGAGUUUGGUGCAACAUUGUUCAACUUUAGUGCAACUUUUGGUCAUGGAUGCCAAGAAAGUGGCAACACGAUGAAGAUCGGCGACCUAGAGUUCUGUCGAGUGCACCUGAUAAGUGAUAACCAUACGAACCUACAUGUUCCAAAAUCAAGUUGGUCGGUGCCAUUUAAGCCAAGGGUACUAUUAAGGCUUAAACUCUUGACCUCUAGGGAAGCAACACCAUAACUCUAAUGGCUUUGCCAAGGAUCUAUGUUUCAUACUUUCAGAGAUUAGGGACAUAAAUUGUCUAAUAUUAUGAUCUGAAGGUGAUAUCAAAGUACUCGGCAUAUGCAGUGGUUGGAGGAACGACAUUGUGGUUGCCGGUCAACAUGUUGAAACAAGAUUUGAGUGAAAUUCGGCGGAAGCUGAUUUUGACGAAUUUGAGUAUGACAGUACACGAAAACGGAUCCCACGGCAUGAGAUUAUGGCGAGAAAGUCGGCGAGCACGAGACGCCUUUUGUCCUUAAUAGAGGUGCCAUGAAAUUCAUCGUCAACCCGGGUCUUCAACAACACUGCCAAAACAACAAAUACCAUCGGCACACCACCUGUCAAAUCCACCUCAGCUACAACUCAAGCAACUCCAAUUCCCAACACACCAGCUGCAACUGAAGAUGAACACGCAUCCGCGAAACAACAACUUUUCCAAACACCAGGCGUUUGACAGAAAAAAUGAGGUGUUCCUACUAGCAUGUUGGAGGCUAUGACGGCGCAGAAACUAUUUUGGUACAUCACUACUUAGUGACUUGCUAAGUUUGCGGUGUUGCUUUAUAGAUAAUCAAAAUGGUAUGAUACUCCUUUCCGAAGGCUGGUCGAGUUAUUGGUGGGUUGUUUCAAGAUCCAAGUGGAAGAAUAUAUCAUGGGAUAGCAGGUCGAAAGGAGUUGAAGACAAGAUUUCUAUGUGGGUUCUCAUAGUGGUUAGGUUAUGCUCUACUUUGAUGUAUUGUAGUUUAAUUGGUUUUUUGGUGUUGUUGCUGACCUGCUGCGACUAUCUUGGUACAUCACUACUUAGUGACUUGCUAAGUUUGCGGUGUUGCUUUUAGGAUAAUAAGAUAUCCUAAAAAA